AACGUAGGUGGCGAGCGUUAUCCGGAAUUACUGGGCGUAAAGCGCGCGUAGGCGGUUGCUUAUGUCGGAUGUGAAAGCCCUCGGCUUAACUGAGGAAGUGCAUCCGAAACUGGGCAGCUAGAGUACGAAAGAGGGUCGCGGAAUUCUCGGUGUAGAGGUGAAAUUCGUAGAUAUCGAGAGGAACACCUGCGGCGAAGGCGGGUUGCUGGGCCGACACUGACGCUGAUGCGCGAAAGCCAGGGGAGCGAACGGG
RNAcentral lists this ribosomal RNA (253 nucleotides) under uncultured bacterium. RNAcentral describes it as "partial 16S ribosomal RNA". It matches the Rfam family "Bacterial small subunit ribosomal RNA", at positions 524 to 776 of the family's 1533-position model. The record is from RNAcentral.